AUCCGCCUGACCAGUCCCAAAUAGGACGAAACGCGCGUCCUGGAU
RNAcentral lists this non-coding RNA (45 nucleotides) under Schistosoma mansoni. The record is from RNAcentral. Lineage: Eukaryota; Metazoa; Platyhelminthes; Trematoda; Strigeidida; Schistosomatidae.